CCUCUGGCCGUGCUCGAGAUUACGCCCGCGCUCAGGAGUGCCGACCAUCGCUGCCCGUUGCGUAACAGUUUGCCUGUGCCGAGAACUUCAACACGUGCGCAUGCCUCCCGUUAUCAGCAGUUCGCCGCUCUCAUUUGAGUUGCUGUUGCUGGUGAAUUUACUAAUGCCCCGGGUGAUGCUUUAUUCCUGUUGAAUUUACAGAGGAUGGAGACAUACACAAUACGAUGAUUUUCGUGGUGUCAGCACCUGCAUUUUGUAGGCCUACGUCAAGAUUACAGUCGCUCUGUCUAAGACUCAACAGGUCUCACUAACAUUGCUGCCCUAUAGCCGUCGCUAUGUAAAUAAAACGGAGAAUGUUCUCUGAAA
Molecule: long non-coding RNA, 366 nt
Organism: Schistocerca piceifrons (Central American locust)
Lineage: Eukaryota; Metazoa; Arthropoda; Insecta; Orthoptera; Acrididae
Exons: 3
Source: RefSeq, a predicted model, not a curated record